This 539-nucleotide transfer RNA is filed under the name uncultured cyanobacterium. RNAcentral describes it as "partial 16S-23S ribosomal RNA intergenic spacer". The stretch from base 127 to 200 matches the Rfam family "tRNA". Lineage: Bacteria; Bacillati; Cyanobacteriota. The record is from RNAcentral.
CAGGGAGACAACAAAAUGUUUAAUAUUAUUAUUUUGUCACCUUAGGUCGAUCGGUACCUCACAUUCUUAAUUUAUUAAGGAUUUUAUUUCCUAAGUUUUUUCUAGGUCACACCCAUUACUUUUCCUGGGCCAUUAGCUCAGGUGGUUAGAGCGCACCCCUGAUAAGGGUGAGGUCCCUGGUUCAAGUCCAGGAUGGCCCAUUCGGUGUUGGGGGUUUAGCUCAGUUGGUAGAGCGCCUGCUUUGCAAGCAGGAUGUCAGCGGUUCGAGUCCGCUUACCUCCACUGAUUACCACCUCUUCCAUAACCGGUAGAAAGGAAAUGUUUUGAGUUGUGAUCAUUAUUCUGAACGAAUCUAGCUUCCUAAUGAAAUCAUUAAGAUGCUGGACUCAUUGAAUUAAUUUCAUUGUUUUCAGAGAACCUUGACAACUGCAUAGAUUUUUUUAAAGACAAUAAGCAUCUUUAAUGAUGCAGAUUUAUUAUUUGUGCUUAUGCAUUAAUAACAAUUCUAUUAAGCUGAUGCUUCAAUUUUUGAAGUUAUU